Long non-coding RNA from Pelmatolapia mariae (spotted tilapia), 314 nucleotides. RefSeq lists it as uncharacterized. The transcript is spliced from 3 exons. The record is from RefSeq and is a predicted model, not a curated record. NCBI's taxonomy places the organism in Eukaryota, Metazoa, Chordata, Actinopteri, Cichliformes, Cichlidae.
GAUUCCAGAGACUCUAUGAAGCCACUAUUACAAGGUGAGACGCUUUGCGUUGAUUGGUGCUGCUGGACCACACUGGAGGUGCGAGUCCGCCGUGUAAUGGUUUAUGCCAUUACAAAGGAGCUGGCCUCUGUACUCAACUGGACAGGGGAAAAAAAACAAGGACCAGACAAAGCAAAAAAGGGCAUUUAAAGAGACAGCGCUGUGCAGAUGCAUAUUUGAUGGCCUGGCGCAGCAGGUAGGGGCGAACUCUAUGUCUGAGUUGGUCUUUGCUCAAGCAGUCCAGAAAUGGCUCAGAUACGCUCCAGAUCGUACGG